Molecule: long non-coding RNA, 4112 nt
Filed under: Homo sapiens (human)
Lineage: Eukaryota; Metazoa; Chordata; Mammalia; Primates; Hominidae
Description: HSALNT0306534
Source: RNAcentral
AUUCUCCUUAUCUACCACCAUGUAAGACAUGCCUUUCGCCUUCCACCGUGAUUAUGAGGCCUCCCCAGCCACGUGGAACUCAUACACUUAAUAAUUCAUUACCUAUUAAGGUAAGAUUCUACUCCUUUUUUGGUGUUUUGUUCUUUCUUUAUUUUUAUUUGCUCCUGCAUUGUGAAAUCCGGUGUUUGGUGUGUGUCAGAAUGAAUAACUAUAUGAUUUUCCAAAUACCUCUUAUAAACUAACUGCCAUUCUUCCAUGUCUUUGGAAUUUCUUUCAAUCCAGCUUCUUCUCAGCUGAGGUCAUGCAAAAAUGACUCACUUGCAUAUGAUACUUUCCUUGAGGAAUUAAACCAUAAACUGUAUCCUUUUGUGCAAAUCCCUUACACAUCUCAGUCAUGAAUCUGUAUGGCUCUCACUUCAUUUAUUCUGGCUUAGUUAUCAGCAUAAGCCUGUAAAAGUCAAAUUUUGCUAACAAAUGGAAGUAAUAGCAAAGAAAGCUAAGGACAAUUUAUUUCCCUUAGGAGAUGGGAAGCAGAGGUACAAACAACUUUUGUUCCACCACCCUUUUCACUUAAAACACACACACACACGCACACACACAUGCACGCACACACACACACAUACACUAUCUUACUACUUGAAAAUGAGGGCAUUAGAGUCUAGAUAAAAGGGACAGAGGGACAGAGUACACUAAUGUGAAGAUCUCUUGUCAGUUGUACAUUCUGAAUAAACAUUUCAUCUUACCUUAAUGCAUAGGAAACUCGAACUUGUUUUCAGAACAAUGAAGUCAUUACUCCUAACUCAGUAUUACUUCUAAAUUCUGGGCCUAGUUCAAAUAUUAUUGUAUAUAUUUUAUUUAUUUGCAAAGUCAUCUACUUGCAUGUAAAGCUGACAAGACUGUAAGUAAUUAAGCCAGGUGUGUCCCCUCAUCUUUUUAUCCCCAGCAUAUAUUAGGAAUGAGCUGAUACAGCCCAUUCCUCAAAUCCUGAGUAGUCCGGCCUUCCAUAUCCCUGGCCAUAUUCCUCAUUCACCAUUACCAGCCCUCCUUGCAUUGUGUAUUGAGGGAGAAGAUUCCUAGAAGCAACAUUCAUCGUCUCUCUUUUCAAUGAUGGACAACUCUCUGCUGUGCCAAAUAUACUAACUUUAACCACCCACUGCCAAACUCACACCUCCUUGUUCAACAAGCCAGUUACGGGCAGUGAAUGAAUCUACGAUGCUGAACAGCCCCGUGGGCAUCUUCUCACUGGGCACUGGCUAGAAUGCAGUUGGAUUAGACUUUCACAAUUGCUUUGUUUUCAAGCCAGGAAGGAGAAAUUGAAGGCAAUUCACCACCUUUCUAUAUCCAAGAUGAAAACACAGCACUCUCCUAAACUUCAGAAGUAUAACUCAGUGGGUUAGUACUUCAGAUCUAGCCUGAGGCAAAAUUAUGAUUUUUCCAAAAGAUUUUCUUUUUUUAGCAUUCUUUUCCUUACACGCAGGCCUUUGAUCAAGCUACAGUUUUGAACUGAUUACAGCUUUUGAAGCCUCAGAAGAUUUAAAGACCCACAUUGUUAACAAUGGUGUUUUAGGUGUGUGGCGUAUUAGAGGAGUCGGGUUAAGAGUAUGAACCUUACCAACAGGUAAAAAUGUGUCAUAUUAAUUUUUUCAACAUCAACAAACACGUCAAAAGAUGGAGCACUGAAAGCUGCAUUUUAAACAAAUGCCCCAGCGAAGGUCUGCAGCUUCACUCCUGAAGCCAGCGAGACCACGAACCCACCGGGAGAAACGAACAACUCCAGACGCAUCACUUUAAGAACUGUGACGCUCACCGCGAAGGUUUGCAACUUCACUCCUGAGCCACCGAGACUACGAACCCACCGGAAGGAAGAAACUCCGAACACAUCCGAACAUCAGAAGGAACAAACUCCAGACACGCCGCCUUUAAGAACUGUAACACUCACCGCGAGGGUCCGCGGUUUAUUCUUGAGGUCAGUGAGACCAAGAACCCACCAAUUCUGGACACACCACCUUGCCCUUCUACUUUUCACAGGUACUAAGGUCUCAAACUCAUAAGUUUUUCCAGGGUUUUCUGCAUUGAACAACUUUUUGUUUGUUUGGUGGUGGUAGUGAGGAAUAGACCUUCCCCCUUUGAAAGCUUCCCUUGUUUCCUUUAGUCUGAUAAAUCAGUUACCACUUAAAUAUCUGCUUCCUAGCUUCUGAACUCAUGCUGAUAAUGCCCAUCUGCUGUCUUUACAUGCCUGGUGUCUCUGAUGGCCAUUUUUCUUAGGGGCUUGUUCAGUGCAAAUAAAUGACUCUCUAUGGAAAAAAAGAAAAAGGGAAAACUGAUUUAUAGCAUUUGCCAAUUUCUAGUGGUGUAGAUGCUCUUACUAUAUGACUGUCUUCAAGCUACCAAUAAUUUAACAGGCUUGCAAGAGUCCUGAAUACUUAUCAGUUAUAUCUCAGUAGCAGGUAAGUGCUAUCUCCAGCCCAGCACUGUUUAUGCCUUUGUUAGUUUUACUGUCUCUUUAGUAAGGCUUUUGGAGAGGGUUGAGAUAAAAGUAUAUCUCUCCAUAUUUAACUGGAAGUCUCAAUUUCUUGCCUAUUUGUGUAGACAUAAGCUGACUUGGAAAAUUAGCUACUUGAGUGGAGUAAAUUUUAAAAAUGGAAAUUAUAUGGAAUAUAUGUGUAGGGCUUUGCCUCAAACAAUGACAAAUUUGUUUUUUCUAUAGCCCCGGCUAUUCAGGGGACUGAGGCAGGAAGAUCCCUUGAGCUCUGGAGUCCAGCAGGGGCAACAUAGCGAGCCUUAAGGAAAAACAAAACAAAAAACAAUGUUUCUUCUUCAUUCAACGUCAUUGUCCUAACUUUCUUUAAGUUAAUAAGGCCUCUUCCUGCUCAUUCUUUCCCUAACAUUCAUAAACACAUAUAAAGUGACUAAGGGAUUUAAAAGAAACAAAACAAAGUUCACUUCCUUAAACGAAACGAGUUUACUUAGGAAGAUGUGCUUUAAAACACUGAGAGGGGCCGGGCAUGGUGGCUUGUGCCUGUAAUCCCAGCUGACACGGGUGGAUCACGCGGUCAGGAGAUCGAGACCAUCCUGACUAACACGGUGAAACCCCGUCUCUACUAAAAACUGCAAAAAAUUAGCCGGGCGUGGUGGCAGGCGCCUGCAGUCCCAGCUACUCGGGAGGUUGAGGCAGGGGAAUGGCGUGAACCCGGGAGGCGGAGCUUGCGGUGAGCCGAGAUGGCGCCACUGCACUCCAGCCUGGGCGACAGAGUGAGACUCCGUCUCAAAAAAACAAACAAACAAACAAAAAACACUGAGAGGGUAUUUAGGGCUUUAAUGUACUAACACCAACUCAUAAGCAUCAUCAGUCAUUUAUAUCUUGGAGGUGUGGAACAAGUAAACUGAGGUAAUGAAAUAAUAUUUGCCUUCACAUUAGUCACUGCUCAGUCACUUAGAGAUGUAAAUUGCAGAAGAUAUACAACUUGUAAAAAUUAUCUCAUUCUUUCUAAUUGGAUUGUGAAAUAUCUAACACCAGCUCCAUUUUUAAGAAAUGUUAAUGCAAACCUGAGAGACUGCAAAUACUGCCAGUGUUGCCUUCUAUAGAAACGGGAUUUGGCUGGAUGAUAUCCCUGGACUAAUCAUCUACAAUGUGGAAAUACUAAGAAUCAUGGCACAGAGGUUAAUACACUUAGGCAAACAACAUAGUGAGUAAAUUAAACUCGCAUUUCUUUUAACGAGAUAAAGUUUGUCACAUACCCACAGAAUUCAUGAGGAAGUUCUGAAAGGAUCAUACACUCCCAAAAUUUGCAGUGAAAACGAUCUUAGAUAAUGUCUUUUUCAUAGCACUCAAUUAUAUGUAAGGAAACUGAGGCCCAAAGUGGUGAAGCCAGUGAGAGAGUGGACUAAAGAAAGACUCAUUGUAUCUACCUCGCACUUGCGAAUUUCCUAUCUAAAGAUUUCUGUUAGCCCCCAAACAUCCCCCAGGAUCAGGAGAAAAUAAAACCAGGAUAUUUACAUUUCCCAUACUUCUCAUAUGGAAGAAAUGCUUUUGGUUCCAAGUACUGUUGUCCACUGAAAUAUCAGCAUACAUGUUUGGAAAGUUUUACUUGUGUGAAAUAAUUAAAAUCCAU